GGAUGCGAUCAUACCAGCACUAAAGCACCGGAUCCCAUCAGAACUCCGAAGUUAAGCGUGCUUGGGAGAGAGUAGUACUAGGAUGGGUGACCUCUUGGGAAGUCCUCGUGUUGCUUUCC
This 119-nucleotide ribosomal RNA is filed under the name Triticum dicoccoides. Lineage: Eukaryota; Viridiplantae; Streptophyta; Magnoliopsida; Poales; Poaceae. The record is from RNAcentral.